UUCUUUAUACUCUGAUGAGCACUAGAGUGAAAACUUAAGACUUUGAACAAACUUCAAAGUACCUUAAAUCGGAGGCCAAAGUAACCCUGGGCACAAAGUCUCUGCAUAGUGAUGCCCGUUAUCCCUAGAGUCUGUGUUCUUGCCAUGUCUCCUGCUGCCAUGUUCUCCCUGGUGUCUCGAAGACCAUCAUGGGGACUCCUUUUAUGACCUUUAUAGCUGUUGUGCUUAGAGGCUCCCUCCCCCCUUUCCUCCCUCAAGCCCUCACUUGUGCUGAGCCAAUGCUCAACCACUGAGAUAGAUCCUCGGUACUGUUCCUUCCCUUCAGAACACCCCACCCAAGCUCAUGCCAAGUACUCCUCACCCAUAAUGCAACUCCUCACCCAUAAUGCCCCAGUGGCUUUACUUCCACAUCUCCUAUGAUUUCCUCAACCAUCCCCCUCCCUCUCUCACUUAAAGGAGUUGACCUUUUUUUUUUUGAAACAUUAAUUGCUGCCCUAAUGAGUCCAUUUUUGUGCCUACUUCUCAGUUUGACAUUUCUGAUGUCCAGUAGGAAGACCAUUUGAAAACUAGGUGGCUUAGUAAACUCUUAAGUGACUUCAGUGUGCUCUGCUUACAGAGCGGGCAAAGGGAGGCUCGAGGAGGCCCUUGAGCAGAGGUGGAAUCCAGCAAUAUCAGUUGACCUAUAUGCUCAGUGUAUGUUCCCUGGGGAUAUUUAUGGAAGAUUCAUUUCCUCUUUAUUAAUUCAAGAAACUACUUGUCAACGAGACAUGAUUUCUCAAUGUACCCAGAGUACAGCUAUUGAAAGAAGAUUCAUGCCAGUGCAGGGUGUGGUUGGGACAGGAGACCCAACACACAUUCCAUCCAGGUCCACCUCGGAAAGUAGCCUAUCCCACUCCCUGGGCUGGUAGACAUUUUAAUUUUAAUAUUGUUUUUUUCAGUUGCUUGUAGUGUGUGUGUGUGUGUGUGUGUGUGUGUGUGUGUGUGUGUGUGCGCGCGUGCAUGAAUAGCCAGAGAACAUCCUUGAGUGUCAUUCCUGGGGUACUAUCUACCUUAUUGUUAGUUGUCUCUUGAUGUUCAAGAGAAGAGAUUUUUAUACGCUUAUUUCAUGUAGUUUCAUGCACUAAGCAACAUCUUGGAAAACAGAAUAAAUGUGUCCAGGUUUAUUUCCACAGACACACACAUCCCUUACUCUCACUAAACAAACCGAGCCUCCUUCUGGGCUGUUGUAGCAUGUGGUAUAAUCAGCUGUUCAAGCAGCAGGCCUGCUAGCCCACCAUUUACUAUGGUCUUGCUUCAUCACCGUGGCUUGGAGGAGAGGGUUGCCAGCACCUCAGCAGUAUGGCCUGUGUAUGUUCUGACCAUGCAUUGGUUAGGCAAACACCAGAUGUUCUUGAUGCCUGCAUUGCCACGGAUUCUUAGGUGGGCAGUUGAUGGCAACAACUCCAAGGUCCUGGGCAGAAGGCUCAUGAUCUAGGGAGAUCAGCCCAUCUGUUAUAGGUGCACUGGUACAGGGACUCCACUCCGAGGAUAACCGAGAACUUCAAAACCCCAGGGUUUUAUCCUAAAGGGACAUGAAAGCACAGUAGAUCUGUGUGGCCAAGAGUAGUGAGAGGGAUAGCCUUGGAUGUCCACAGAGGCAGGACUCCAAGAGGAGAGCAGUGGGUGCUGCUGAGUGUCCUGCCAUCCUGGGCGUGGGGCUGGCAGCUGGCCAAGGUCUUGUGCCAGUAAUUAGAUGGUGACUAGAGAGGCUGCUGAGAGUGGAAAGUAGGCUCUGAAUUUGGCCCACUUGGGCAGUGUGGGUGGCCCUGCUUACUUCCAGCUUCGAGGCUUGAGUGAGUCACCAGGGCCACCCCAGGAUGCUCAGAGCACACGGCAGAGUCCAGAAUGCCUUUGGUCCUGGCAUGUGACCCUGGCCAUCAUCCUGGUCCUUUCUGGAGCUUGAUGACCCAUUGCGUGCAGUCAUUGGAGAAGGCUGCGACAGGCCAGGAGAAGGCCUGUAAUGUAAUUGACAUGGUUCCCCCACUGACCAUAUGGGAACAGUCAUAAAAAUCACCCGCGUGGGUCUCAUUUUACAGUUUACAGAGGAGGCAUUUGGGCUGUAUCAGCUACCAGCUGGGCAGCCUGGUGCUGCUCCAGCCUUGGAGACCUCGGUUUCCUCGUUUGGGAAACAGAAAAAAGUCACUUUGCUGUACCUGUCUGUGCCAUGGGCUUGUUCUCUGGGCAAGAAGAAAGGGGCAGGAGGAAGAAGAGGUAAAGAGGAAGAAGUGGAGCUUGGCAGAUAGGGGGAAAGGCUGAGAGAAAGGCUGCUGGCCUGGGUUGUAGGUGGGGUGGGAGCGAGGCCCGUUACUCCUCGUGGUUGUCUGAGGCCUCUGAAUAACCUUUCCGUGGACAUUGCCACAUUACAAGCAGGCCUUGUGAUAAUAUUCUUUCUAGCUGCAAAAUUAGCUUAUUUCUAGG
This 2457-nucleotide long non-coding RNA is filed under the name Mus musculus (house mouse). Its description in RNAcentral is "long non-coding RNA chr7:112456837-112459294". Lineage: Eukaryota; Metazoa; Chordata; Mammalia; Rodentia; Muridae. The record is from RNAcentral.